Molecule: ribosomal RNA, 520 nt
Filed under: uncultured Glomeraceae
Lineage: Eukaryota; Fungi; Glomeromycota; Glomeromycetes; Glomerales; Glomeraceae
Description: SSU rRNA
Rfam family: Eukaryotic small subunit ribosomal RNA
Source: RNAcentral
AGCAGCCGCGGUAAUUCCAGCUCCAAUAGCGUAUAUUAAAGUUGUUGCAGUUAAAAAGCUCGUAGUUGAAUUUCGGGACCAAUAUGUCGGUCGUACUUUGUACGUACUGGCAUUAUUGGUUUCUCCCUUCUGAAGAACCGCGAUGUCAUUAAUUUGGUGUCGUGGGGAAUCAGGACUGUUACUUUGAAAAAAUUAGAGUGUUUAAAGCAGGCUCGCGCUUGAAUACAUUAGCAUGGAAUAAUGAAAUAGGACGUUUGAUUCUAUUUUGUUGGUUUCUAGGAUCGACGUAAUGAUUAAUAGGGAUAGUUGGGGGCAUUAGUAUUCAAUUGUCAGAGGUGAAAUUCUUGGAUUUAUUGAAGACUAACUACUGCGAAAGCAUUUGCCAAGGAUGUUUUCAUUAAUCAAGAACGAAAGUUAGGGAUCGAAGACGAUCAGAUACCGUCGUAGUCUUAACCAUAAACUAUGCCGACUAGGGAUCGGAUGAUGUUAAUUUUUAUGUACUCAUUCGGCGCCUUACGGG